Molecule: long non-coding RNA, 315 nt
Filed under: Salmo trutta (river trout)
Lineage: Eukaryota; Metazoa; Chordata; Actinopteri; Salmoniformes; Salmonidae
Description: lncRNA (ENSSTUG00000000866.1)
Source: RNAcentral
UGACCAUUGUUGUGAUGAUCACAUCUAUGCUCUAUAACGUUACAUUUAUGUUGUUUUAGGUUGUGUCUGGAAGGGACCUGGAUCUAGCUGUCGCUUCGAGAUGGACAUCACAUAGAGAACCAGGCAGGUCUAAACCCUUGGAUGACAGAGAGAGUACUGGUGAGACAGACGGUGGUGAGGCUGAGGCAGGCUGUGAUGCAUGGAGGAGGAGGCAGAGGAGACACAGAGAGAGAGGAAGCCAGCAGAGAGAAAGGUUAGUACAGUGGUUCCCAUACUAGAGGUCAGAGCCCCAUGUAGGGUCCACUGAGAAAAUCU